AUACGUAGGUGGCGAGCGUUGUCCGGAUUUACUGGGUGUAAAGGGCGCGUAGGCGGGAUGGCAAGUCAGAUGUGAAAUCUGAGGGCUUAACCCUCAAACUGCAUUUGAAACUGCUGUUCUUGAGUGAUGGAGAGGCAGGCGGAAUUCCUAGUGUAGCGGUGAAAUGCGUAGAUAUUAGGAGGAACACCAGUGGCGAAGGCGGCCUGCUGGACAUUAACUGACGCUGAGGCGCGAAAGCGUGGGGAGCAAACAGGAUUAGAUACCCUGGUAGUCCACGCUGUAAACGAUGAAUACUAGGUGUGGGGGGACUGACCCCCUCCGUGCCGGAGUUAACACAAUAAGUAUUCCACCUGGGGAGUACGAUCGCAAGGUUGAA
Molecule: ribosomal RNA, 376 nt
Filed under: uncultured bacterium
Lineage: Bacteria
Description: bacterial SSU rRNA
Rfam family: Bacterial small subunit ribosomal RNA
Source: RNAcentral